UACGUAGGGUGCAAGCGUUGUUCGGAAUCAUUGGGCGUAAAGGGCGUGUAGGUGGCUUGUUAAGUCAAGUGUGAAAUCCCUGGGCUCAACCCAGGAAGUGCAUUUGAAACUAGCUAGCUAGAGGACGGCAGAGGAAGGUGGAAUUCCAAGUGUAGAGGUGAAAUUCGUAGAUAUUUGGAGGAAUACCGGCGGCGAAGGCGGCCUUCUGGACCGAUCCUGACACUGAGACGCGAAAGCGUGGGGAGCAAACAGG
Molecule: ribosomal RNA, 253 nt
Filed under: uncultured organism
Description: partial 16S ribosomal RNA
Rfam family: Bacterial small subunit ribosomal RNA
Source: RNAcentral